GGAAGUGAGGGAGAUCUGGCUGCAACAUCUGUCGCCCUGGCUGGCCAGGACAAGGUCCCCUUCCUUGAUGCUCCAAGAGUGUUCCUCCCAAAGCUGUGAGCUAGGAUGGAGAGGACAUUUAGCCCUGAUACAAGAGGACCCUUCUUUGAUCAAGGGUAUAGAAGUAGCUGCAUUGCCAUGCUAAAACCUUCAAACAAGCUUUCCAAACUACUUUAACCACAAUCUCACAUUGUAUACAAAGACUAGUCAAAGUUGAUCAGAGAAUUAAGUAGAAAAUAUAACAUUAUACAAUUUCUGGACAAAGAAAAGUU
RNAcentral lists this small nuclear RNA (311 nucleotides) under Octodon degus (degu). RNAcentral describes it as "7SK RNA (ENSODEG00000023767.1)". It matches the Rfam family "7SK RNA". From Rfam's summary of the family: 7SK was discovered as an abundant small nuclear RNA in the mid-70s but a possible function has only recently been suggested. Two independent studies have found that 7SK RNA binds the CDK9/cyclin T complex (known as elongation factor P-TEFb). The record is from RNAcentral. Lineage: Eukaryota; Metazoa; Chordata; Mammalia; Rodentia; Octodontidae.